AUGAAAUUCAAAGUUCAAAGUAAAUUUAUUGUCAAAGUACAUAUAUGUCACCAAAUACACCCCUGAGCUUUAUUUUCUUGUGGGAAUCCACAGUGAGCUCAAAGAAACACAAUAGAAUCAAUGAAAAACCUCACACAAGGAUAAUCAAUGUGCAAAAUACAACAGACUGUGCAAAUACAAGAAGAAAAUUUUAAAAUAAUAAUAAAUAAAUGAGCAAUAAAUAUCAAGAACAUGAAAUGAGGAGUCCUUGAAAGUAAGUCCAUAGGCUGUGGGAAUGGUUCAGUGAUGGGGCAAUUGAAGCUGAGGAAAAGUUAUCCCCUCUCAUUCACGAGCCUGAUGGUUGGGGGGUAAUAACUGUUCCUGAACCUGGUAGUGUGGGUCCUGAAGCUCCUGUACCUCCUUCCUGAUGGCAGCAACGCGAAGAGAAGAUGGCCUGGAUGCUGAGGUCGUUAAUGAUGAAUGCUGCUUUCCUGUGACAGUGCUCCUUGUAGAAGUACUUAACGAUGGGCAGUGCUGAACCAGUGAUGAAUUGUGCAGUACCCACUGCUUUUUGUAGGCUUCUCCACUCAAGGGCAAUGGUGCUUCCAUACCAGACCUUGAUGUAACUAAUCAGUAUACAGUAUACUGCAUAUACAGUAGAUGUGACAAGAUUAUGGUGAGUUGGGAUUUGCAAAGUGUAAAGGCUUUUCCAAGUACAGUUCCUAAGCAAUAUUAGGAUUAAGAAAAUUAAUUUCAUCACCUAAAACUCUUUUUUAGCUGAUUCCAGCCCAUUUUACCCACUCCUUGCAAAUUAGGGCAAAGGGAGGAAGAUUUACUCCGGUUGUUUUCUGGAAACAUCAUGUAGACUGAAAGAUUUCUGAAUGAUAUUUCCAUUAAAGACAUAAAUGCAUUGUACUGGCCAAUGGUGUAGUGGCAUCAGCAUCAGACUUUGAGGUAAAUGGUCCCUAGUUUGGAUCCAUCUGGCUCCUUCUGUAAAAACUUGGGCACGUAAAAACCAUUCAAAUGCUGCGGAAUAAGACCAGCAGAGCAGCAAUGGCUGGAGAUUCUGCGAAAAUGAGUGCUUGUCAAGACUUGGACACAGCAAUGCUUCACUGCCUGCUUGCAUUCCGCCUUGCCUGAGAAAUUGGACUGCCGAGUCAACUAACUCUGAAGACUGGCUUCUUUUCCCUCUAACACUGUUCACAUUAAUGUCUGUGAACUAUUGACCUGCUUCAAUGUCUCUCACUCCAUAUUCAAACUGGGUGACAGCAAGUCUCGACCACACAAAGAUGGGCCCAGCAGAGAGAGCAGCUGACCUUGGCCAUGAGAUUCACUGGUCAGAGUGACUCAUCGAGGCACCAACAUUUUGUUGGAAUUCCUAUGUAUAAACUCUUGUUUCUGUUUCCAUCAUGACAGAAGGAUCUUGCCAAGUAAUGGACCCAGCAAAGUUGGAACAGGGACGUUUUGACACUGGUGGCUUGAGGAGAGUCCCGAGUCUACAUACUAAGCUUCUCUAAUCUACUUUGUACAACGAGUUUUUCCUGUAUCCAUUCCAAGCAUUUCAAGUCACAAGUACUCAAAUUCUCAGCUUUGUGGUCCUGUUACUCAAGUCUGCAUAACAAAAUGAGUGCUUCAAGCAAGCUUAUCAAUGGAUUCAACAAAUUAUCAUUCAAUUCAAUAGUGCAAAUUCUGGAAGAGCCUUACUCCAAAAGCUGAUCCCUUGCUGGAGUGUCCAAAUACACAAAUAACCCUAUCAAGAGUAUUUUUAACUUCUUGAUGGAAGUUAUUAUACAGAGUGGGAAAAUUGAACUUUCUUGUAGCACAUUAAACAGAUCUACAGAGAACCAGCUAGCUUAGCAAUGAAAGAAACCUGUCUAUGCUGUCUUGAUCUGUAAAAUUGAGAGAACAUCCUAAUUGCCUCUGGAAAGAAUUGUGAAAGAUAAAACACUGUGAGCAAGAUUUGAAAAGGUUCCUUCUCUAGGUUUUAAGUUUUACGUUUUCAAGGUUUACCAAGGUCUUUUCUCUAUGUUCCCAAGGUUUUUAUUUUUCCGAUUGUUUCCAAGGCUUAUUCAAUGUGUCUAGGGUUUUUUAAUGUUCUCCCCUUCUUGGACUCCCAAGCCUCCCUCUCGGCCCCGCCCAAGGUUUCUUGAUCUCACUCGGGAUCCCCAGGUCUCCCUCCCUCUCAAGCUCCCCAGGCCCCCGAGUCUUCAGGUGUUCCAGAGCCAUCAGGUACCAGCUGUAGGGAGGGAGUCCUGUAGUGACUAUUUCAGGCCUGUGCAGGGCAUCAGAAAGCAUCGGGCUCUGAGGUUUUUAGAGCACCUGAACUGGUUAAUUGUUGCUUAACAACAGUUAUUUAUGGUUUAAGAGUUCCUUGUGUUUUUCUCGAGCGACUUGCUCUUUGUAAUGCGGUUUCCUGGUGCUUUCUGUUUAAUUUUGAUAGGCUCAGGGAUUCUGUUAGCUUAAUUGUUGAAGCAGAUGCCUGAUUAGCUCCAAUCUGAGGGUCCUCAUUUUGAGAAUGAUUUGUCCCAUGGUGUCACUUGGUCGAGCUAUCUCUGUAUAAGCUCUUGCUUCUGUCUCUACAUGGAAGUCUUUGACUCCGAUAUUGGCAGUGCACACCAUGGCAUUUGUCUACCACCAUCACAUCUUAGACAAGUCCCUCAUCCGGGACCAGCGGACACAGGUCUGUGGCACCUCAGGGGCUGCACCUAGAGAGGUGGGGGGGGGCCCUGUAACAACCACAAAUUCAGCAGUGCAGUAGAUAACAUAGAAAUAUAGAAAAUAGGUGCAGGAGUAGGCUAUUCGGCCCUCCUAGCCUGCACCGCCAUCCAGUAUGAUAAUGGCUGAUCAACCAACUCAGAACCCUGUACCUGCAUUCUCUCCAUACCCCCUGAUCCCUUUAGCCACAAGAGCCAUAUCUAAUUUCCUCUUAAAUAUAGCCAAUGAACCAGCCUCAACUGUUUCCUGUGGCAGAGAAUUCCACAGAUUCACCACUCUCUGUGUGAAGAAGUUUUUCCUCAUCUCGGUCCUAAACGGCUUCCCCUUUAUCCUUAAACUGUGACCCCUUGUUCUGGACUUACCCCAACAUUGGAAACAAUCUUCCUGCAUCUAGCCUGUCCAAUCCCUUUAGAAUUUUAUACGUUUCAAAAAGGUCCCCCCUCAAUCUUCUAAAUUCCAGCAAGUAUAAGCCUAGUCAAUCCAGUUUUUCUUCAUAUGAAAGUCCUGCCAUCCCAGGAAUCAAUCUGGUGAGACUUCUUUGAACUCCCUCUAUGGAAAGAAUGUCUUUCCUCAGAUUAGGGGACUAAAAUUGCACACAAUAUUUUAGGUGCGGUGUCACAAAGGCCUUGUACAACUGCAGUAGAACCUCCCUGCUCCUGUACUCAAAUCCUCUUGCUAUGAAUGCCAACAUACCAUUUGCCUUUUUUACCGCCUGCUGUACCUGCGUGCCCACUUUCAAUGACUGGUGUACAAUGACACCCAGGUCUCUUUGCACCUCCCCUUUUCCUAAUCGGCCACCAUUCAGAUAAUAAUCUGUUUCCUGUUCUUGCAACCAAAGUGGAUAACCUCACGUUUAUCCACAUUAAAUUGCAGCUGCCAUGAAUUUGCCCACUCACCUAACCUAUCCAAGUCACCCUGGAUACGGCAAUUGCACUUGUGAAUAUGCACAUGUCAGCUAAUUAUUAUUUCAUUGUUUUAGUAUUUAACUCCAUACUUGGCGUCGUAGUGCUUGUCAAGACUUGGACACAGUAAUAAUUCACUGCCUGCUUGCAUUCCGCCUUGCCUGAGAAAUUGGACUGUCGAGUCAACUUACUCUGAAGACUGGCCGUAUUUGUUUUAUUCUUAGUUGUUCUUUUUAGUCGCGUUGUAGCUACGUUUUCCAUUUGAGAGUUUUAGUCAAAGGCCCUGUUUGGCCCAGCGUUUAUUGUUUUCUUUUCCCUUUAACACUGUCCGCAUUAAAGUCUGUGAACUAUC
Molecule: long non-coding RNA, 3948 nt
Organism: Hypanus sabinus (Atlantic stingray)
Lineage: Eukaryota; Metazoa; Chordata; Chondrichthyes; Myliobatiformes; Dasyatidae
Exons: 2
Source: RefSeq, a predicted model, not a curated record